ACUCCUACGGGAGGCAGCAGUGGGGAAUAUUGCACAAAUGGGGGAAACCCUGAAUGCAGCCAUGCCGCGUGUGUGAAGAAGGCCUUCGGGUUGUAAAGCACUUUUCAGUAGGGAAGGAAGGUAGUGUAGUUUAACACCUGCAUUAUUUUGACGUUACCUACNGAAGAAGCACCGGCUAACUCCGUGCCAGCAGCCGCGGUAAUACGGAGGGUGCGAGCGUUAAUCGGAAUUACUGGGCGUAAAGCGCAUGCAGGCGGCCUGUUAAGUCAGAUGUGAAAGCCCGGGGCUUAACCUCGG
This 297-nucleotide ribosomal RNA is filed under the name uncultured bacterium. Its description in RNAcentral is "partial 16S ribosomal RNA". It matches the Rfam family "Bacterial small subunit ribosomal RNA", at positions 335 to 618 of the family's 1533-position model. The record is from RNAcentral.